CAACCUGCCCCAGAGCGGGGGACAACAGUCCGAAAGGGCUGCUAAUACCGCAUGUGGAGAACGAAAGGCAUCUUUUGUUCUCCAAAGCAGCAAUGCACUCUGGGAUGGGCCCGCGGCCUAUCAGCUAGUUGGUGUGGUAACGGCUCACCAAGGCAACGACGGGUAGCUGGUCUGAGAGGAUGGCCAGCCACAUUGGGACUGAGAUACGGCCCAG
Molecule: ribosomal RNA, 214 nt
Filed under: uncultured bacterium
Lineage: Bacteria
Description: partial 16S ribosomal RNA
Rfam family: Bacterial small subunit ribosomal RNA
Source: RNAcentral